RNAcentral lists this long non-coding RNA (17217 nucleotides) under Phaseolus vulgaris (common bean). Its description in RNAcentral is "long non-coding RNA (PVUL_LNC003739)". The record is from RNAcentral. Lineage: Eukaryota; Viridiplantae; Streptophyta; Magnoliopsida; Fabales; Fabaceae.
AAUUGGCCACAAUCACGCACUGAGAGGUCUCUUAAGUUUGGGAAGAUUGCAUUCAAAUUCUCUUUGCCAUAUUCAUCCUCAGUGUCUAUAAUGUGCUCAAGUCCGUGACAUUGCUCGAUUCUCAAGAUUUCCAACAUCAGUAAUGAAGCAAUGGACAAUUUAAAAAUGUACUUUACCUUAUCAAAGCCAUUCAUGUUAAUCUCUCUUAUGUUAUGCAUAAUAAUCAAGGUCAAACCAUGUGGUGGUUUUGAAAUAUAUUGAACACUUUCAACUGGGAAAAUAGAAUCUGAGUUCGAUAUCUGCAAUACAUACACCAAGUUACUUGUUAAACCAAACUAAUUAGUGUCUUAACUUUAAUUAUUAAUGUAUUUCAUUUCUAACAAAUAAUUGUUUAUGAAAAUAAAUUAUUUUUGUUUAGCACAACAAGAAAAAGUUGAAAAGAGAAUAAUUUCACAAAAGUAAUCUAUUCCAAAUAAUCUAUGCCAAUACUUAGAUAUUAAAAAAUUCAUGUUGCACCUUCGGUAUAGUGCUUGUAAGACCAACUUUUAUUUUUAGCACAAAAUGAUCGUGCAAUUCAAAUGUUUUGAGUAAUUUUUCUAAAUACACGAAGAGAGAGACAAAGUAAGUGAUGAUAAUCAUACCUUGAUUGCAAUAUAAUCCUCUUGUCUAGCUUUUGAAGAAUCUGCUGAACAAUUUAUAGUGAAAAACUCAACACAUCUUCCAGUAGUCAAUGAUAGUUUUCCUAAAGAUGGACAUCUUACAUGAUAAUUGCCUAGAAGAGAGUUAUCCAUGAUACGAACAAGUACGAGUAUUUCUAAAGCAGGAAGCUCAAUUUGAUUAUUAUUUUGUUGUUGACUUGAAAGAUCUUUCAAAUUAGAAGCCUCUUUAUUUCCUAUUUCCAUGCCUCCAACAAAAGAGAUAGGGAACAUACAUUGCAAUAAGUCACAUUCACUGAUAUUUAGCGUUUUCAAACUUUGGAAGAUUGAAAUAUCACUCUGAAAGUCAUGGUCAUCCUGGACAAUGUUUUCCUUCUGUUGAUUGACCCUUUCAUGAGUUACUAUAUGUUUCAAACUAUUGCACCUUUUUAUGAUCAACACUUCCAAAAAAGUCAAGGUCUUAGCUAUAGAUGCUGUAAAAAUUGAGCCUAACUUCGGACAAUCGAUUAUCGUAAGGCUUGCAAGGCUUGAUAAAGUUCCUGAAAAGCAAUUAUAAAUAAGAAAAAUAUCGCUCAACAUAUUAGAGUUCGUUAUAUAUAUGUUAUGUGUGCAAGUUACAUUCUAAUUUUGAAGACAUUGGUUUCUAGGGACGGAACUGCAAUCCUAAGCAUCAAACGAUUCGUUAAUAAUGAUGAAAAGAAUCAUACAAAACAAAUUUUUUUAAAAUAAUUCGAAAUUAUCUAAAAAGUUUAAAAUGCAAAUAUAAUUGUCUUUAAUUUUGAUUGGAGACAAAUUUUGCUCAUAGUGCAUUAAGAAGUAGUAGGUUUAAGUAAAACUAGAUUAGUAAUGUCUUGAGUUUGAACCACGUGAAUGAAAAAUAACAGAUUAGCAGUUUUCAUCUAACUUGUAAAUAACUUCAACUAAGCAAUAACAUGUAGACUUCUUAAUAUGUACCUGGGCUAUGGUUCAAAAUUGUUGUUGAUGGAGUUGAAGUGCUAUACAAAUGUGGAUGCUUACCUUCCUCAACGAUUUCAGCAAGUUCUUCUUUUUUAUCCUGGUAUGUUAAUGGAUCAAUAUCCCCAAAUAUUUGAUCUAACAUGUUGCAUUCUUGUAUAUUGAGCACUUUCAAUUGAGCUAAGCCUUUUAAAACACUGGUCGAGAAUAUAUCUUUUAAUUCUCUACAUCUAUUUACCUCUACUUCCUGAAGAUUUUGGAAGAUUUGUACAGGAUGCCCAAUGGUGAAUUCACAUUGAUUUUUCUCUCUUUUCUCAUCAUCUGCUAAUAUAUGUUUCAGUCCAUCACAUUCUGAUAUUUUUAAUAUUUUCAAUUGUACCAAACAUCGAGCAACGACAUACGUGAAGAGAGAUGUCAACCGUGGACAAUCACUUAAAUACAACUCCUCUAAGUUCUCAAAAGGCCCAUUGGCAGGUUGAAAACAAUGCCAUAAAGCUCUUAGACUUUUCAUGUUAUUCAUUCUGAGCGUAUGCAACUUUGAGAAGAAAGUUACCACCUCACUCAAAUGGUUACUAGUUUCAAUCAAGCACUCUAUCUCUUCAGAAUCCUGUAUCUCAAACUUAUUCAGUUCAUCCAAACCUCCUCCUUCAAUUUGAAAUAUAUCAGGGAUGAUAUUUUUUGCGCCUCCCUGAAUAUUUGCUACAACUAGAUCUGUUGCUUUUUUUGCCAAACCCUUAAUUACCUCAUUUGAUAUGUCAAAAUGGUUAAGUAAUAGAGUUCUGGAAGGAGGGUGAAGAUAAUUAUAAUUAUAAUAAAAGUCAUUGUAUCCCAAUACAAUUGCAUACCUUUGCAAUGUUUGGGGGACACUAAACGUGUUAAAGAAUUCAAUAUUGUCUUCACUGUUAGCUUUCCAUUUUUCUUCAACAAUGUACAACUCUUCUAGUCGUGGGGUUCUUUUUAUCACUUCAAAAUUCUUCCCUUUCAUUUUACAUCUGUAGAACUGUAACAAUUUUAAGGUUGUUAUUUGUGUAAUUGCAACAUUGGUUUGUAAUUCAGGAAAUGAAGGCAAUGAACAAUCAUUCAUCGAAAGACUUUGAAGUUUUUUCAUAUUGUUUACAAAUGAGAAGUCGCUCAAUUCAUAGCCAGAAAUAACUAGAUAACGAAGAUUCGUUAAUGUUUUUAAAGACAUUGUGGACAAUGGUGUUAUUCCAACAUUAUCAUUGGCUAGAAUUAAAACUUUGAGAAUUUCCAUUCUUUUGAAGAUUCCAUCAAAUUCUUCCAAUUUUGUCUUUAAGAAUAAAAACUCAAGAUUUGAACAAUCCAAAUCAUUUGGAAAUUUUACACACCAUAGACAUCUUAUUGAAUUUUGUUCAAUAGUCACAUCUUUUUCCACUUCGCACUUGAUGAUCUUAUUCUCAUUCUUUGCUAUCAGGUGGGCCACAUCGCGAACUAAGUCAUGCAUUUUUACACAUUCAUUCUUUUCAUCCAACAAUAAACAAGAACUAACGAGCUUAAUUUUGGUUGCAACCACUUCACUCCUUGCCUCCUCAUAAGAGUGUGCUUCUCCAACUACACCUAAUCCUAUAGCAUAUCUUGUUAAAGAUUCAAUUGGAAUUUCAUAAUCUUCAGGGAACACAGAACACAAUAGGAAAAGUGAUUUAGCUUCUUUAGUAUCCAAAUUAUCAUAGCUCAGCUGCAAGCACUUGUAGGGAUCAAUCAAACCUCUUUCAAUAUUUACUGGCUUAGAACUUCUCAAUUUAUUCAAUGUAACACUCCAUAUCGUCUCAGCUUUUCCCUUCAAACUACUGGCAACAGCUGCAACGGCAACAGGCAAUCCUUUACACUCAUUGGAAAUUAAUUUACCCAUAUGCUUUAAGGUAUCAAGGGUGUCUUCAGAUAUAAGGGCUUUAUUUUGAAAAAGAGUCCACGCUUCUUCAUCCGUUAAAAUUGGCAGGUAAAUCAUUCUUUGACAAUCCAUUGAAGUACAAACUUCUUCUGAUCUAGUGGUAAUGAGAAUCUUGCAACCUUUAUGGUGUUCAGAGGAGGGAAUUCCAAUGCCACCAUAGUCAAGUUUCUCCCACACAUCAUCUAGAAUUACAAGAAUGUUUUUCUCCUGGUUUAAUCUCAAGCACAAUCGUUGGGCCCUCUCCAUUACUUCAGUUUCUGGAAAUGUAUACUGCAAUGAACUUGCAAUUUUUUCUUGAAUCCUUUGAACUUCCACUGUACUAGAAAUAGGCACAAAAAGAACUUUUUCAAAACAAUGUUCUGCUUCUACUAACUUCUUAACCUCCAUUGCUAAUGUGGUUUUACCACAACCCCCCAUCCCAUACAAUCCAAUCAUGGAAACAUCAUUAUUUUUCACUGCUUCCAGUAGUUGCUCAUAUGCAGAUUGUCUACUCUCAAAAUUCAUGGAUUUUUCUAAGAGAAUAUCAAGGGUGCCUGAAGGAAGUGUAGCAAUGCGGUCAAAUGGCACAUAAUGUCUACCCUUUUCGAUGAACUUUUCAAGGUCCACUGUUUUAUUUGCUAACUUUUUUCCUACACGGUAUCGCCAAAUCAAAUUUGGACAAUGCCCAAAGCAACAGAUUUUUUUGGCUUUUGCCUCUUUCAACAACUGAUUCACAUUGUCUGCAUCAUUGAUAGCAUCUUGCAGCCACUUGUCAACAACUUCACUGGUCUUUCUUGUUUGUUUCUUUGCAUUUGUAACAAAUUUUUGGACACUGUCUUUCGUUACAAUCAAAUCGCCCUCUUCUUCUUCAAGUUUUUUUACGAAAUUGUUAAAGCAACAAGGAUAACGUAAUUGAUUUAAUGUUCCACAUACUAAAUCUCUUGAAACAGAAGAUGCAAAACCCAAGAGGCACUCCAUCAAUUUGUUCCACCAAAUGCAACUUUCUUUUACUUGAACAAGAGAAGAUGAAUACUCCAUAGUUAGUUUUAUAAUUAUAUUUAGAUGUAUUAGAAAAUAAAAGAUUUUAAGAUCGCAUUACAUAUUGGAGUACGUCACUUUUAUAGUAAAAUUACAGAAAAGGUUAUGAUAUUAUGUUUAGUAAUUAGAUUUAAUGUUUCAUACCUUAUAUAAUAAUUAUUGGACAUAGAAAUAAAAAUAAAUCUAAUAACUUUAAUGAUUACUUUUAAAAGUUCAUGUGUGAUAAGAUUUUUAAAUUUCCUUUUCAUCACUUAGAAAAUUUUAUCAAAUAUAUUUAUUUUUAAAUAAUUUUGUUUCAAAAAAUUCUUAUCCUCCCUAAAAAAAAUUAUAUUUAAACAUGUGCUUAAAUGACACCCAAAUAGAUCAAAAGAUUUGUUAAGUAGAAAAAAAAAGUGUACGAGUAAAAAAUGUAUUUAACCAAAACUUAAAAUAUGCAUUAUAUAUAAAAUUAAUAUUAUAUAUAUUUUGUAAGUUUAAUUUUAUUAAUAUUUAUUUAAAUUUAUACAAGCUCUUAGAUAUAGCACUUUUUGAUAAAUUUGCAAAUAGGAGAAUAACAAAUGUUGGUAAUUUCUAAAUCAGAAUAUUUUUCCAAGAUUCUUGGAGUAGAAUAACAUAUAAAACGAUACAAGGUUCAAGAAAAAGUCAUCAAUUUUCAGAGUUUGAUAGAGGUGUUCGUAAAGCAGAGAAUUAGAGUUUUCUUAGUGUUUUAUUUUCUUCAUUAUAAUCCUUUAAAUUUGUCUCCAUAUGGAAGGUUAAACCCCUUAGGAUUCAUUUUCUUGUGUUUUUGCAAUAAAUUGAGGUUUAUGUUCUAUAAAAUUGUAUUCUUAAAUUCUCUAUAGCAAAUUGUGUUUUAUUGUUAGUCUUUUUGGAAUGUGGUUUUUGUCAAAAUAUUUGUUUUUUAACGCUUAUUGAGAAUUUAGCUAAUUUCUUUAAUUUGAUUCGCUUAGUCUUAAUCAAUGUCUUGUUUGCUUAAUUGAAGAGGUAGAAGAUAAACAUCUAACAAGUAGACAUUGAAACUUGUGAGAUACUGAAUACAUCAGUGGACACUUGUUUUGGUGAUAUUUAAUUAAUUACCAAGUUUUGGAUAUCAAUUUUAGAAUCUAAAAUAGUUGGUGGCUAAAACCUUGGUAGCUAAUUAAAUAUUAAUUUAAAAACUAAUUUAUAAAUUUAGAAACUACUUUAACUACCAAUAAUUCUUUUAAUUUCUAAAAUAUUACUUAAUUUAUUCAAUAUAGUGACUAAUUAUUUUUUGUUUCUAAAAAUAAUUUCUAAAAUUAGUCUAUUUAAUAAUUUUCUUGUAGUGCAUAUUAUGAUUAAUAUAAAAUGACAUGUGAUUUUUAUUUUUUUUAAUUAAAUAAUGUGUUGGAUAACAAAGGACUAUCAUUGUCACUUACAUCAAUGACAAUGACGACAAUUCCUUGAUCGUUGUAGAUGUUGACGUGAAAGUAAUAGGUAAGUAUGACAAUCUUGUUAUCCAACACAUUUUUAAUAAAAGCAAUAAGAAUCACUUCUGAUACAUUAACAAUAAUAUCAUUUUGUAUGUACUAUACAACAUACAUUUUUAACAUGUGGAAACAAAUAAGAUGUCGAAUCAAAAUAAUAGUCAUGUCACUUUAUUAAUGAAAAAUAAACGACAAAAACUCAAUUAAAAAUAUAUUUUUUUAAUUAAAAGUAUCUAAAAAGAUACUUGAAAUUUAAUUAAGUCUAAAAUAAAUGAUUUUUUUUAGCUCAUUACAUAUACUUAGCUACAUUGAACUGAGUGAGUUAGACUAGGUACUUUAUGAGUUCUUCUCAAAUUAAACCAAGACUCGAGUGCUUUAAAAAUUCUACACAAACUUCUAUUGUUUUGAAAGCCUUACAUUAUCACUGUUUGUUAAAUCACACAUGCAAUUUCAUUAAAAACCGUUAAUAUAGGUAUAAUUCAAUUUCAUUAAAAACAAUUAAUAUAAGUAUAAUUUGUGAGAAUAUUAAGAAGUAUGAUUGUAUUUUACUCACCCAUUCAUUAUUCACAUCAUGAUGAUUGGAUGUGAUUUUUAAUAAAAAUUUCCAAUGUAAAAAGUGUUUGAAUGUUUUUUCCUACACUUUUAUACCUUCUUCGGGCAUCCGUAUUUACAAGUAAGGUCAAAAUAUCAUUUUAUCCUUAAAAAUAUACUUCUGAAUUUUACAAUUUGAAAGUGUUAUUUUUUCUAUGUUCGAAAUAAUUCAAAAGGUAUAAUGCUUUUCAGAUUUUACAAUUUAAAAUAUAUUUUUUUCUUUAAAAAAAUUUAUUCUGAAAUACAUAAUCCAAAAGUUUUCCUAAAUAUGAUAAUAGCUUUCCUAAAUAUGAUAAUAGCUUUCAGAUUGUACAAUUCAUAACAAUCUAUUACUAUAAUAUUCAGAUUGUCCAAUCCAAAAGAUAUUUUCAAAUCCGAAAAUACUUUUCAAAUUCUACAAUCUAAAUAUAAUUUUAAAAUAUAUUUUGGAUUGUACAAUUUAAAAUUAUCCUUACAAAAUAAAGUCCAAAAUACAUUAUAAUAAAGAGUAUUAUAGAUUUUAUAAUCCAAUAUAAUAAAAAAAAUAAACGAAUGGAAAAUUCUAAUAUGUACUCGUAAUGUUAGGGUUGGAAUUAAAAAAAAAAUAUGGAAAUUUAGGAGAAAGAAAAAACGUGUAGGGAAGAAACAUGUGUGUUCCCUAAUUGAUAAUGGAAUAUGAAAUAUAGAUCAUGAAUGUUUCUCGCUGCCGCAUUUUUAUUAAAUAUCAUUUUUAAAUGGGAAGAGAUAUAAAAACAGUGUAUUAUAAUAGUUAAAAUUAAUAUAAUAAAACUAAAAGUUGUAUUGUCUGAUGGAAAAAUACAUUAAUAUAUAAAAAAAAUAUUUAUAAAAUUUAAAAGAUAUUACGAUUACUUUAUUUUAACAGGAUUUAUAUAUGUACGAAAUAAAUAAGAGCAAAAAUAUCUUUAAAAAUAGUGUAAGAAAAAGUAUCCGUCUUAUAUAUUAUCAAUGGAAAUAUAGAGACCGAUGAACAAUAUUUUUUAUUACGUUAAAAAUAAAUAACCUUCUAAGAAUAAUUUUAAAAAUAUAUGAUAAUUAUUUUUAAGAAAAAUUAUUAUAUAAUUGUUUUUAGUAGAGAAACUAUAUACUUACUUAUUUACUAAAAAAAUUAUUUAAUUUAUUAAAAGAUAAAAUUAUCUAAUUAAAAAAUGACAAAAAAUAGUUAUAAAAAAUAUUUUCUGAUACAAAUUGUUAAUAAUAGUAAAUUAAUUAACCCUAAUAAUAAAAAAAAGUGAUAAUAAAUAAAUAAUGAAAAAAAUAAUAUUGAUAAUAUAAUAAAGAAUAAUAACAAUAAAAAAUUUACUUAUUUUUAUUUUAAUUUAAAUAAUUUAAAAAUAAUAAUUUCUACUCUUUUUAUUUUCUCAAUUAACACUGUUUUAUAUUUGUUCUCUCAUUUUUUUAUUUCAUUAAUUUAUUUUCCCCCUAUUUGGUUUCUCAAGGCAACUUGUAAGGCUGCAAAAUUCCUUCUGAUCAAGUGAAAAAAAUCAAAUUCUCAAAUCCAAUUUAUAUUUAUUUAAAUUUAUAUUAUUUUAAGUUUAUUUAAAUAGAUUUAUUUGAAAUCCAAUUUUUAUUUUUACAUUUUAACUUCAAUCUAUUUUAAUUGGCGUUGGAAGGAAUAUUGAAUAGUUUUUAAUUUUGAAAAUCUAAAAUCACGUAAGUCUAAAUCAUUUUAAGUUAUAAAAAACUAAGUUGAGCUAAACCCAAGUAAAAUAUUACUGGAUCGGACUCAUGUAAGAUCAGCCCAAGUUGAUCCGAGCUCAACAAUUGAGCUCAAUCCAUUCAGUUCUAGUUCAAUCAAGUUGUGUUGUGUCCAAAUCAAACGAAGCAUGAUUGGAUUAGGUUAGGUUAAUCCUAGAUAGAGUCGAUUUUGCCUAAGUCCAAGUCAACUAAGACUUUGGUAAGAUUAAAACGGACUAGUUAAGUCGAAACAAGUCAAGUUGCGUUUAUAUUCAAUCAAUACAUCGGAUCCAUAUUGAGUUGAAACCAUGUUUAACUAAAUUGAGUUAAUUCCACGAUAAGUCAAUUAGGUUGAUCUCACCUCAGAUUUAAGUAAAUUUAAUCUAAAGUUAAUCCAUUUCAAAAAUUAAUUAAAAAAAUUCAAAAUCAAUUUAAUUUAGUUAAAAUAGAUAUGUAUUUUAAUUUUGAAAAUUUUCCACGCAUGAUCCUCCGAACUUCUCAUCACACUUUUCCCUCCCAUCCAGCUAUUCCCAUUUUGAACUCUAUCGUCCAUGUGGUUGUUUAUACUGAGUUUUCACAAAUGUUUGAGUAUUUGUAAUAAAAGUUGUUUAUAAUAGUUAUUUAUAAAUAAAAUUAUUAUUUUAAUGUAACUUCUAUCCAUAUAAAUGGUUUAAAUUUAAAAAUAAUUAUUUAUAAAUUAAAGGGAGUUAUUAUUUUAGAAGAAAAAGAGAGUAGGUGAAGUAAAACAAAAGUGCAAAUAGAAGUCUUAAUUUAUGGGAAAAUAAGAAAGAUUCAGCUAAUACAAAUUGUUUUUUCAGAUCUCGCAUAAAAAACAGAGUAUCUAGUGUUUUGAUCCACAAGAUGAAGCAGAUAUAGUUGUCUGAACCUGUUCAUGGUUCAUAUCUAACUAAUUUGGAAGAAGAGGAAAGAUAUGAAAUAUUACCUUCUUUAACUAAUAUGUAGAGAGAGAUGAAAGAAAGAAGUGGUGAUCCAUCACUUCAAUACAAGAGAAGCUGAAACGUUACGUUUCUGCACAAACAUAAACACAAACACAUUAUCUACAACUUCAAUUGAAAAGGAAUCGAUUAGAAAUUGAAAACAAAGCAGAAGUUAACUUCACGCUGAUGCAUACCUCCACAGAGAUGAAAGUACUCCAUUGCUUGAUUCAUACAUGCACAGAGAUGAAAGGAAUCCAUUGGUUGAAUGAAGAACAGAGUAAAACAGAGAAUCCUGCAAGAGAUAAGAAUGAAAGCAGAGAAGUGAACCCAACCACACCUUUUGGCUAUCAGAGUCACAAUCGGUUUUACAAUUCAAGUAUUUGUGAAAAGAAUACAUGUGGAUUUGUUUUAUACAUGUAGUUUAAGUAAAAUUAUUUAAAAAUAAUUCUUCAAAAUAAAGACUCAGAUAAUACAAUUCAAAUAAAAUUUCGCACUAAAAUAUAAAUGUAAAUAAAUUUGCUCUUUCAAAAAAAAAUUUAAAAUAAAUUGCACACAAGUUCAAAAAAAUUAAUAUUUCUAAAAAUAAUUUUAAUUUCACAAGUCUAAAUAGAAAUAUUUAAAUAUAUAAAAUUAAAUUCUAAAUAAUUUUUCAGCGUUUAAUAUUUCUCUAGCAGAUACAAUAAUUAACGGGUAAGGGGUAUUUGUGGAUAAUAUGAUACCCUUAUCCUUAGAGUGAAUAAUUAAAAUAUCCAUACAUAUUAUUUAUGGAUAACUAUUAUUUGGAACGCAGUUUUUUCAACACUUUCUUUGAAAAAAUCUUUGAUGUUUGAGAAACUUUUACAAAAUCUUUGUGAAAGAAGAAAAAAAAAUGUAAACAUUCAUUAUAAGAAAAAAAAAAUAUUUAGAAGUUUGAUGUAAUGUUCAAAACUUUAAUUUGUUGUAAAUAUUUGAUUAAGUCCUAUAUUUUGUUUUUCAUGUAUACUACACCAAGUUUCCUUAACAAUUUUAUUAUGAUAAUCUUUUAACUUUUCUACCAAAGUAGAUACGAUGUACAUUAUCUUUUAUUACAUGUCUCGUGAAUUUAUGGUUGAUGGUAAAUAAUUGAAAUCUUUAUUAAUUUUAUUGAGGUACAUUGUCCAAGUUCUGUGAAAAUAAUAUUAUGCCAAAAAAUAAACAGAAAAUUUUCUUACUCUUGACUAUUUAAAAUAAGUGGGAAAUUUUUAAUAAGUUACACUUGUUAUCAAUCUUGUUUUUCAGAUUUUUUUCAUAAUUUUUUAUUUAAUCUUUGCUGGGUUUAUUAUUGUAGAGCAUAAAGAUAAUUUUGGUUGCAUAUGGCUAAGACAGUGAAAUGUUGAAUAUAAGUGAUUGCUGCAUUAGAAGAAAGAGGAAUGCCAAAUGGGCUAAUGUAACACUCAAUGCAACUCCUUUUUCUUUUUUCUCAAACAUAAUAUUGUUGGAAUCAUAUCCACAGAGAAACAUGGUGAACUCAUUAAGACAUACAUAAAAUAAAUAUAAGGUAUUACAAAAUGACAAUGGCACUCAUUGAAGGAAGGAACAUAAAAGAAAUGGUUUUUGUAGUUUUGUCUCACCAAGACCAACCUCUUACACAACAAUAAAUAAGAUAGCAAACAUACAACAAAAUAGAACAAGCAAAAGACAGAACAAUAUUCUAUAGUUGCAAGUCUUCCUUUUGAGUGAUGAACAAUUCGGUCUUUAAUAACAGUGAACAAUGAAAAUUCUCAUGAGAGAUUUCUAGCAGCCAUGCGAUUAUACUCAUAUUGACUACAGAGAAAUGACCAUUUAUAAGUCACCUCAAAUAACUUUUGUUGAACUUUUCUUUCAUCUUCCACCAUUUGAGACCGGUCUUUCCUCACAUUUUCAAGCUCCAUUUUAUACCCAAUAGUUUCUACAAUCCUUUUAUUUUUCCUCUUCCAGAGAUGAUAAGGCAUCCUCACAAACUUUUAUUUCUUCCUUCAACCUAAUGAUUUGUUCCUUCAAAACUACUUCCUUCAGUUGAGCUUCAUCAUAGAAAUUCCUUGCCUCGGAAAUUUUGGAACCAAGAGUAGUGGCCACCUCAUUCCCACGAGCUUCAAGUUCUGCUAACUUGUCAGUGGUAGCAAAGCCUUGCUUAAAGGAGUGUACAAUGCUUGGGAACUCUUGCUGCAUAGUGCCUAUAAUAUCUUUGAGUCCAUCUGAUAGAGUUACAUCUUUGAAAGGAAGGUUGGACAGGAAAUUAAGAGCAGACAAAAGGCUAAUGCUGUUAGUCUCAGAGCUAACUAUGUCCUUCAAAGACAUCUUUAUAUACUUUUCCAACUCAAGAAGGGUCUUUCCAACUAUGUUGUCUUCACCCUCUUUCCCCACAAUAACAGAUGCAUAUAAACUCAUGAUAUCACUGGUCCCAAAGUCUUGAAUAAUUUUAGAAUGGCCUCCACUUUCUUUAGUAGUGUGUGUCUCGGUUUGGCUGCUCCUAAUUUCACUCUUGGAGGAAUAAGAAGAAAAUAUAACAAAAAAGACGUUAGCAUCAAGCCACAACAGUUGUAAAGCAUUGAGUUCCUUAAACCAUUUUUUAUCAAAUCCUAUUUGUGAGAGUGAUGGUAACAAAUUCAUUAAAUUUAAAUUCCAACUUGAAAUUCAGUACCUUUUGUUUUUUAAUUCCACUCUUGCAGCAAAUGAUAAAUUAGAAUGGCAACAUCAUUUUUUAUGCUGACCAAAUAUGUUGGAAAUGUGAAUUGCAUAAAAUAAACUUACAUGUGGAUGUGAUUUAGUUUGCAAAGUAAAUAUUUGGUCCAACUGUGAGCUAGUGGAUUCGGAAUGAAUUGAAGAAGCUGCCAUACCGGUGUUCUUUGCUAUGGUUUCAUCAACAGCAACUCGCUCAAUAAUACUCUGCACAAGAACAAGAAAUAUGUAGUUUUGGUGUAUGCCGUUUUAUUUUCAAAAUGACAAGAUGUGUGUCAAUAAAAUGCCUCGGUUUUAUUUUGUUCGUCAUUUACCUGAGGAAUUUUGGGGCUACUUACAAUUUCUCCUAGUGGCUUUUGUUGGUUCAUCAAACACGGUUCACUAAUCCGUUGUUUGUCCACCAAUGCCUAAAGAAAGUAAUGAAUAGGUGUAAAAUCAUUGUAGACUCAAUACUAUUUUUUCAUCCAAUACUCGAAAAAAUAUUUUUAGACUCACAUUUGAGUGUGUUUCAUGUAGAGGUUUAUUCAAAUAACUUGAACUUGGCCUUUCAACUAGUUGCAAGUUUGUUAAUGAUGUUGUCGUUCUUGGUAUUUCUGAAGUGGAAACUUUUGCAACAAAUUCCUUCUCUGGUUCUUCAUUUCUUGCAGUCACAAUGCGGUCAUUGGAAACAACAGCUAUUUGACCUUCUUUGUCAACCAAGUUAAAACCUUCUUUGAAGUUACUAUUAACAUUAUGAGUCUUCACACUUGGAGAAGUUCUUUUGCAAUUUUCAUUAGGCCCAUCACCAUGUUCAACAGCCUUGGAGUCUAGUACCAUCUCCACACUACUAUACCUGUGUAAUAAACUUAAAUUUUAUGCUCUAUGCAUCCCAAAGAACAGAAAACUAAGAAACAUAUGGUAUCAAUCUUGUAAGAAUUGCAGAUACAACCACAAUGUAUAUAUAAACAGAAAUAGGAAAUCCACACAACCACAACAUAGAGAUAUAACUUCAAAUUCACAAAACACUAAUACAUUUUAUCUCCACAUUAACAAAGUCAUUUAAGACUCUUAAUUUCAUUCAUUCUUUACAUUAAGUAGUCAAGAAGUUAAAUGAUCAUACCUCUUAGGAUUCUCAUCCAUUUGUCUCUCUGCAAUGUCCUCUCUCAGCUUAGGAUUCCUCGUCAAAACAUGUUGACGCAUUUCAUCUACCCAUGAACUCUCAAAUCCAAUCUCAAUAGCUUCUUCGCAUAGUUUAUGAAACUCUUUUUCUCUUUGAGGAGUAACAUUAUCAACACUUUCCUUCUGAAUGAACAACAACAUAUCUGCCAAAAUUUUCAACCUCCAAGCUUGAAAGCGCUCACUAAACUUCUUGCAAGCAUUCCAAAGAUGAGGAUAUGUUGUUAUCGCCUCCACCAGAAGAUCAAUUUGUGCACCAUCCAAAUCAACAAAAUGUUUAUAUGUUCCCAAUUUUGUACGGAUAUCUGCAGAAGCUAUAAAAAGUUUGAAAAGUGAUAUGAAAAUAUAGGAUUGAAACAAGAAAAUAAGAAAUAAAAAACCUGGAGAAAUGUCAAUAUUGUUGUUAGAAAUAAUAUGUAUCUCCUCUUGUUUGUCCAAUAGGUUCAACCCUUCUUCUACUUGGAUUUCUUGGCUUGGCAUGAUUCCUCCCUUUCCUUCAUUCAUCUUAUCAUCUUGUUCAACAACCUUGGAAUGUUGUGCAAGUAUGUCCACACCACCAGACUCAAUGUGAGUUCCAACACCACCUCCAAUGCUAAUGUCUUCAACCCCAGUUGUUAAAGGUUUUGUCUUAUCACCCUCUGCUGAAGGCCCCUCUUCAAUGCUCUCAAUUCCUAUGUUUCCAAUCUCCUUUGUAUCACAAAUUAAGAAAAUACAAUUGAGUGAGAGUUUAUAAAGUUUGAAAGGACCACUAUUUUUAAUGUAUAUCAUGUGGUGGUAUGAGAGUAGUUUGAUAAUUUUUAAUGGUUUUGUUACUAUUGCUUCUUCAAGUGCAUGUUUGUCUUAAUAUCACCAAAUUCAUUUUAGGUUUAGUAAUUAUUGCACCUACAUGCUAAGGUAUUUUAUGCAGAGAAGUUUCCAUACAAAUUAGAGGUGAGUUUCUAAAUUCUAAAAGAGUAGUUGGUAUUGCUAGUCUCUCAUUGAUGUUAGAACUAUUUCAAUAAAUAUUGUCAGUUUCAAGAAUACACUUUACAAUGCUCAAGCUAAGUUUUGUAAGGUAACUCUCAUUGUGACUAUACUUAUUUCUUCUUCAUAUUUAGUUUUUAAUUUCAAGUUCAUUCCUAAUUAGUUGACAUAUGAUGAUAUUAUCUAAUGCAGUUCCUUCUUCGACACCACUCAAUAUUCUGCAAUCUGCAUAUAAGUCCAGAAGAUGUGAAACUUGGUAUCUGCAUAAUGUCAACCGAACACUAAAAAAAAAAAGCUUACAAAAAAUAAAUAGUUACUAUAUUAACUAGAUAUACUAUCUUAUAAACUAAAAAAUUAGUAGUAUCUAAAGUUAUUUAUAUUAUUAAUAAAAUUUAUAAAUUAGUUUCUAUAUUGGUAUCUAAUUAGCUAAAACCUUCGUAGCUAAUUAGAUAUCAAUAUAAACACUAAUUUAUAAAUUUAUUAAUAAUAUAAUCAACUUUAGAUACUAAUAAUUUUUUUAGUCUCUAAUAUAAUAUAUAAUUUAAUUAACAUAGUAACUAAUUAUUUUUAUCUUUAAAACUAGUUUUUAUUUAAUAAUUUUCUUGUAGUGAAAAGUAAUGAUUGUCUCUCAAAACAUAGGGUAUUAUUUUACGAAGUUUUAAUUUAAUUUUUUAAAUUUCAUUGUGUCACAUAUCUUUUUAAAACUUUUCUCAAUUUUUAUUCUAAUACCAAGAUCUUACAAAAUUCACACACUACUGGUAAGUCAAUAAAUACUAGUAUUAAAAGACAAAAAAUAAUUAAUUAUGUACUAUCUUAAAAAUUAAAAACAUUAUUUGUAUCAAGAUUACUUUUUAUUAAUAUUAAUAAAAUUUAUAAACUAGUUUUUAAAUAUCAAAUUAGAAACUAGUUUAUAAAUUUGAUUAACAGUAAAAACUACUUUAAAUACCAAUAACUCUUUUAAUUUCUAAAACAAAAUAUAAUUUAGCCAAUAUAAUAAUUAAUUAUUUUUUAUUUUAAAAUUAAUUUUUUGUUAAUAAUUUUCUUGUAGUGUAUUUUAUUUCAUUGCUAGCAAAAAUAUAUAUUUUUAAGAUAACAAAAUAAUUUUUUACUUUUAUGAUUCAGGUACUUAUUUAAAAUCUCAAAUCUUAUUUUUCUAUCACGUAAGUUUAAAUUAAAAAAAUCCUAAUAAUGAGAGAAAAAGGUUAUUAAACUUUUUUUUAAUUGUAUUUAGAUUCAUAGAUUGGUUGGUUCUGACCUGUGAUGAAGUCAACUCACUCCUACAACUAAUUCUAUAAUCUUCAUCUAAACUGUCCAUCAAGGGACAUAUCUCCCAAAACGAAAGUUCAGUCCUUUUGAAAUCUGUAACAAAAAAUACAUAAAAAAGAAAUGCAACCUCAGCUUUUCAUGAUGAAUAAUUAUAUAAUUACAAUUAAAUAUAAAAAAUGAUUUAAAAAGUUUCAUUAUAGCAAUUUUUUUUUAUCACCCACCAAAACAAAGGAUCGAUUGUUUUCUUUAACCGUUCUUCCUAAUUACAAUUACUAGAGCUUAAAAUUAAAAAAAUUCAGCAAAUAAUAAUUUACUGUGUUUAUUUUAAAAAAUUUAGUAAAUACUUAGUUGGAAAUUUGAAACAGUCCUAUCUGAAUGAAAUAGUUAAUUUGAAAAGAAAUAUAGUAUUUACCUUUAUAAGGAAAAGUUUUCUUGAGCUUCUCCAAAGUAGUUGUUGGAGUCAAAGAUAGUUUUGGACAUUCGUAGACAACACAAUUCUUUAAAUUGGGCAAUUCAAUCUCUUGGUUGAAGUUUGAAAGAUGCGUAAAUAUUAAAACUUUGAUUCUUGGAAGUUCAAUUUUUGUCUUUCCUAUCUCAUCACUUUUUCCUUGUCCACGUCCAACAAACUCUUCUAGUUCAGAGGCUCCACUUAUGAUUAAAAGAUAAAGAUUAGGAAAGUCAUUAGAUGCAGAUCCAGAGAUAAAUCUUUUGAGUUUGUGGCAAUGUCCAACAUACAAUGCUUCUAGUUUUGGGAAGAAUGCCUGAGGAGAAAGAAGAUUAGACAAUUUGUUAUCCUCCACAUCCUCUUCAAUGAUUACUCUUAAUUCUUUGCAUUUUCUUAUCUUCACAAUACUCAACAUUGGUAGGCAUCUUAAAUCAUACUUUGAAAAGAUUACUUCCAAUUUUGCACAUCCAAUAAAUUCUAAUUUUUGAAGAUUUGAGAAGAUAAGAGAAUUGUUUGGAGCUCCUUGUUCACAUCCAACAAUCUGCUUCAAUUCCAUGCAUUCUUUUAUUAUUAGCUCUUUCAACUCUGGUAAGCUUCUUAAAACAGAGGGAGGAAAUAUUACUUUCAAUUUUGCACAUCCUAUUAUUUUUAAUGUAGUAAGAUGUUGGAGAUUAACUGAAUUCUUGGAAGCCACCCAAAUAUAAGUCAUUUGAGGUAUAUUUUCCAAUUUCAAACGCUCUAACCUUAAGCUCACUUGUUGCCCAAUCAUUCCAUCUCCAUUAAGACAAAAAAUACCUUCUACUUCAGAAUUGGUUACAGAUAUAUUUUGCAAAGUGAGAAGAGGGUUAUGAACCCCUUUUGGAUCCUGCAGGACAUUCGUAGGAAAUGAAAAAACUCCAAAAAGAAAACAAAAAAGGAACAAAUAACUAAUAAUCAUAAAAAAAAGACAAGACUACCUUCUUACUUGCGUUGAUAGGUUCUCUUGAAUCUGCAGGAGCCGUCAAGCAAUUAAUAGAAUUAUAAAACGGAUAGGAACAUUUAUAACAAGUAAACUCCUUCAAAGAUGACCACGUCACGGUGAGAUUGUUGGUAGCACAAAUGCUAACAAAAUUUGGUAGAUUAUAAAGAGCGAGCAUUUCCAAUGCUGAGAAAUGAAUAUGAAUCUCCUCACAAUCCUGAUUAGCUACGCAAUAUUGGCCAAACAUAUAUUUCAAUUGCCCACAAUCAAUCACGAUGAGCUCUCUUAAGUUUGGGAAGAUUGCAUUCAAAUUCUCUUUGCCAUAUUCAUCCUCAGUGUCUAUAAUGUGCUCAAGUCCUUGACAUUGCUCGAUUCUCAAGAUUUCCAACAUCAAUAAUGAAGCAACGGACAAUUUAAAAAUGUACUUUACCUUAUCAAAGUCAUUCAUGUUAAUCUCUCUUAUGUUAUGCAUAAUAAGCAAGGUCAAACCAUGUGGUGGUUUUGAAAUAUAUUGAACAUUUUCAAGAGAGGAAAUAGAAUCUGAGUUCGAUAUCUGCAAUACAUACACCAAGUUAC